ACCCGGAAUGCCUCCAUACCUACUUGGGGACAAAUAAAAACACUCUGCCAUCAGGCACGGGGAAUAACCUCUUUGCAGGGCUCUCCAACCUCCCCUGAGAAGAUGUUUAUUGCUAUGCUUGCCUUAUUAUCUUGCCAGGAUUCUUCGGCAGAGCAUUCAGAGGCUCGCGACUGAGCUACAUCUGGCUGUUUUAAGAAA
This is an RNA transcript of Bubalus bubalis (water buffalo), 198 nucleotides long. RefSeq lists it as uncharacterized. The record is from RefSeq and is a predicted model, not a curated record. The transcript has 2 exons. NCBI's taxonomy places the organism in Eukaryota, Metazoa, Chordata, Mammalia, Artiodactyla, Bovidae.